Molecule: unclassified non-coding RNA, 253 nt
Filed under: uncultured Enterobacteriaceae bacterium
Lineage: Bacteria; Pseudomonadati; Pseudomonadota; Gammaproteobacteria; Enterobacterales; Enterobacteriaceae
Description: contains 16S-23S intergenic spacer region
Rfam family: Bacterial small subunit ribosomal RNA
Source: RNAcentral
CACGAACCGUACGAACGUUAAUCGGAAUUACUGGGCGUAAAGCGCACGCAGGCGGUCUGUCAAGUCGGAUGUGAAAUCCCCGGGCUCAACCUGGGAACUGCAUCCGAAACUGGCAGGCUAGAGUCUUGUAGAGGGGGGUAGAAUUCCAGGUGUAGCGGUGAAAUGCGUAGAGAUCUGGAGGAAUACCAGUGGCGAAGGCGGCCCCCUGGACAAAGACUGACGCUCAGGUGCGAAAGCGUGGGGAGCAAACAGG